UACGUAGGGGGCAAGCGUUGUCCGGAUUUAUUGGGCGUAAAGAGCGUGUAGGCGGCCAUACAGGUCCGUUGUGAAAACUCGAGGCUCAACCUCGAGACGUCGAUGGAAACCGUAUGGCUAGAGUCCGGAAGAGGCGAGUGGAAUUCCUGGUGUAGCGGUGGAAUGCGCAGAUAUCAGGAGGAACACCGAUAGCGAAGGCAGCUCGCUGGGACGGUACUGACGCUGAGGUGCGAAAGCGUGGGGAGCGAACAGG
This 253-nucleotide ribosomal RNA is filed under the name uncultured bacterium. Its description in RNAcentral is "partial 16S ribosomal RNA". It matches the Rfam family "Bacterial small subunit ribosomal RNA", at positions 524 to 776 of the family's 1533-position model. The record is from RNAcentral.